AUGGGGCCAGCGGCAGGAGAUGGGACGAGGAGGAAGACGGCGUGUGUCCCCUGUGGGUACGGCUACGUCGCGUCGGCGCUAGUCAAGCUGCUCCUGGAGAAGGGAUACGCCGUGAAGACCACCCUCAGAAACCCCGAUGGCAAGGUGAAAAACAAGCACCUGAAAGAUCUGCAGGCGCUCGGCCCCUUGGAGGUGUUCCGCGCCGACCUCGACGAAGAGGGCAGCUUCGACGACGCCGUCGCCGGCUGCGACUACGUCUUCUUCGACGCCCCUCCGGUGAACCUCCACGCAGAGAACCCUGAGAAAGAUGUGAUCGAGCCGGCCGUCCACGGGAUCCUGAACGUGAUGAGGUCGUGCGUCAGAGCGGGAACAGUGAAGCGCGUGGUGCUGACAUCGUCGGCGGCCGCGGUCUCCACCUUGCCGCAGGAAGGCGACGGUCAUGUCCUGGAUGAGGAAUCCUGGGCCGACGUCGAGUUCCUCACGUCGGGAAAGACCCAUGCUUGGGUACACACACAUGAGUAUUUUGAUUUUCAGUUCGUUGAGUCAUUCGAAACGAUGAUGACGCUGGCCUACCGUUGUGUAGGGGUUCCCUGCAUCAGCCUCGUCACUGUGUGCCCGGGCCUCAUGGUGGGCGCGGCGCCGGCGGCCAAGGUCCAUCCCAGCGUCCUUGACGUCCUCUCGCUGCUCUCGGGCGAUGAAGCGAGGGUCCGCACCCUUAAAUUCAUCGUGAGGAUGUCUGGCUCCAUUCCGUUGGUCCAUGUCGACGACAUCUGCCGCGCUGAGAUAUUCGUGGCCGAGGAGGAGGCGGCGUCGGGGCGGUACAUCUGCUGCAGCCUUAACACCACCGUAGUGGAGCUAGCCCGCUUCUUGGCGGCCAAGUACCCGCACUACAACGUCAACACCGACCGGUUCUGCGGUCUUCUGGAGAAGCCGAGAGUCUGCAUUUCUUCGGCGAAGCUCCUCGGGGAAGGGUUCGAGUACAAGUUCAAGAACCUGGAUGAAAUAUACGACGACAUCAUCAAGUACGGCAAGGACCUGGGAAUCCUUCCAUACUAA
Molecule: ribosomal RNA, 1056 nt
Filed under: Triticum aestivum (bread wheat)
Lineage: Eukaryota; Viridiplantae; Streptophyta; Magnoliopsida; Poales; Poaceae
Description: partial small subunit ribosomal RNA
Source: RNAcentral